This 469-nucleotide ribosomal RNA is filed under the name uncultured bacterium. Its description in RNAcentral is "partial 16S ribosomal RNA". It matches the Rfam family "Bacterial small subunit ribosomal RNA", at positions 28 to 507 of the family's 1533-position model. The record is from RNAcentral.
GACGAACGCUGGCGGCGUGCUUAACACAUGCAAGUCGAACGGAAAGGCCCUGCUUGCAGGGUGCUCGAGUGGCGAACGGGUGAGUAACACGUGGGUGAUCUGCCCCUUAUUUUGGGAUAAGCCUGGGAAACUGGGUCUAAUACUGGAUAGGACCAUGCUGUAGGUGGUGUGGUGGAAAGAUUAGUUUCGGUAAGGGAUGAGCUCGCGGCCUAUCAGCUUGUUGGUGGGGUAAUGGUCUACCAAGGCGUCGACGGGUAGCCGGCCUGAGAGGGUGGACGGCCACAUUGGGACUGAGAUACGGCCCAGACUCCUACGGGAGGCAGCAGUGGGGAAUAUUGCACAAUGGGCGCAAGCCGGAUGCAGCGACGCCGCGUGGGGGAUGACGGCCUUCGGGUUGUAAACUCCUUUCAGCCAUGACGAAGCCCUUGUGGUGACGGUAGUGGUAGAAGAAGCACCGGCUAACUACGUG